CAUGGGUUUAAAGGGUGAGCUGAGAACCUGGACAGCUUUUUCUGAGUUUGUGAUUACUAGGCAAGAAAAGUAGAUGCAUUUGGAGAUUAUGAAGACAAAUGAAGAAGGGAAACUAGAAUACCAAAAUUAUUUCCUAUGGGCAGAAGAGGCAAAGACCUCUAAACUGAGUACCUGAGAGUUUUUCCUAAGAACACGCAUAAGAUAAUAGAAGUUUUCUAUUUUAGAAAAUACUCUUCUGCUUUAAAGUCUACAUCAGAAAAUAGUGAUGUGGCACAUUCCAUGUGGUAAUUGUAAUUUAUUAAGACCUUUUUGUGUGAAGCAUUUUACAUAGUUUGUCUUAUUUAAUCCUCAAAACAGCACUGAGGCAGCCUACUCUGGCUGAAUGGCUAUCUCUCCAUCCCAUAGACACAGACCCUGAAGCUCAGAACCAUUAGAUCACA
Long non-coding RNA from Pipistrellus kuhlii (Kuhl's pipistrelle), 440 nucleotides. RefSeq lists it as uncharacterized. The record is from RefSeq and is a predicted model, not a curated record. NCBI's taxonomy places the organism in Eukaryota, Metazoa, Chordata, Mammalia, Chiroptera, Vespertilionidae. The transcript has 3 exons.